GCCCAAGUGGCGGAAUGGUAGACGCAGGGGAUUCAAAAUCCCCCGCCUUUGCAGGCGUGCCGGUUCGAGUCCGGCCUUGGGUACCA
Molecule: transfer RNA, 86 nt
Filed under: Phaeobacter gallaeciensis
Lineage: Bacteria; Pseudomonadati; Pseudomonadota; Alphaproteobacteria; Rhodobacterales; Roseobacteraceae
Also listed under: 1 other name
Description: tRNA-Leu
Rfam family: tRNA
About the family: Transfer RNA (tRNA) molecules are approximately 80 nucleotides in length. Their secondary structure includes four short double-helical elements and three loops (D, anti-codon, and T loops). Further hydrogen bonds mediate the characteristic L-shaped molecular structure. tRNAs have two regions of fundamental functional importance: the anti-codon, which is responsible for specific mRNA codon recognition, and the 3' end, to which the tRNAs corresponding amino acid is attached (by aminoacyl-tRNA synthetases). tRNAs cope with the degeneracy of the genetic code in two manners: having more than one tRNA (with a specific anti-codon) for a particular amino acid; and 'wobble' base-pairing, i.e. permitting non-standard base-pairing at the 3rd anti-codon position.
Source: RNAcentral